CGCACGGGUGCGUAACGCGUAUGCAACCUACCUUUCACUGGGGCAUAGCCCGGGGAAACCCGGAUUAAUACCGCAUAAGAUAGUUGAGUGGCCUCACUUGACUCUUAAAUUUACGGAGGUGGAAGAUGGGCAUGCGUCCGAUUAGCUAGUUGGCGGGGUAGAAGCCCACCAAGGCCACGAUCGGUAGGGGACCUGAGAGGGCGAUCCCCCACACUGGUACUGAGAUACGGACCAG
This 235-nucleotide ribosomal RNA is filed under the name uncultured bacterium. RNAcentral's name for it is "partial 16S ribosomal RNA". It matches the Rfam family "Bacterial small subunit ribosomal RNA", at positions 99 to 334 of the family's 1533-position model. The record is from RNAcentral.